Molecule: ribosomal RNA, 468 nt
Filed under: uncultured bacterium
Lineage: Bacteria
Description: partial 16S ribosomal RNA
Rfam family: Bacterial small subunit ribosomal RNA
Source: RNAcentral
GACGAACGCUGGCGGCGUGCUUAACACAUGCAAGUCGAACGGAAAGGCCCUGCUUUUGUGGGGUGCUCGAGUGGCGAACGGGUGAGUAACACGUGAGUAACCUGCCCUUGACUUUGGGAUAACUUCAGGAAACUGGGGCUAAUACCGGAUAGGAGCUCCUGCUGCAUGGUGGGGGUUGGAAAGUUUCGGCGGUUGGGGAUGGACUCGCGGCUUAUCAGCUUGUUGGUGGGGUAGUGGCUUACCAAGGCUUUGACGGGUAGCCGGCCUGAGAGGGUGACCGGCAACAUUGGGACUGAGCUACGGCCCAGACUCCUACGGGCGGCAGCAGUGGGGAAUAUUGCACAAUGGGCUGAAGCCUGAUGCAGCAACGCCGCGUGCGGGAUGACGACCUUCGGGUUGUAAACCGCUUUCGCCUGUGACGAAGCGUGAGUGACGGUAAUGGGUAAAGAAGCACCGGCUAACUACGUG